AUGGCGGCGGCGGCGGGCCUCCACCCAGACGUUCUCGCCCGCAUCUUGCUCCUCUUGUCGUGCAUCGUGGACCGCGUCAGGGCGUCCGCGGUCAACAAGCACUGGCGGCGGGUCUCGCUGCAGAAUCCGCCCCCGCUGCCGCGCCUCCUCAGGCCGUCCACGGCCCAGACCGAGACCUACCGGAUCUUCGGCGGCUUCGGCGAUCCGCGCCCGUCCCUCUCCGAGGAGGGCCGUGGCUCGCGUUUCUGCGGGUCCGCUCCGGGCGGCUGGUUCGUUAUCUCGGCCGAGCCAUGGCGCGGCCACGCCCUACUUCACCUCCGCACCGGCGAGCGCGUCGCCCUGCCGGAGAGGGUGCGUAUCCCGCUCAACUCCGGCGACAUCACGUGCCCUAUGAUGAUCCGCGCCGCCGUCAUCUCCGCCGCGCCGCCGUCUGGCGACUGCUUCGUCGCCGCCAUCACCUCCAGCCAGACGAACAUGGCGUUCUGGCGCCCGGGCAUGGACUGCUGGUUGUCGCCGCCGGUGGGGAUGGGGCCGGCUCGGCGCAGCGCCGAAGACCUCACUUACUACGACGGAUGGUUCUGCGCCGUCGACUCCGAGGAUUACCUCGUCUGCUACAAGCCGGAAAUCGCCCCUGCUGGAGACGGCGCCUCUUCGCUCACCAUUCGAACUAACGCCUACAAAUUCCAUGUCCAUGGUCACCAAACGGCACCCGGGGAGAUCGUAUCGCACUACCUCUUGCCCUCCGCCUCGGGUGCCGAUCUGCUGAUGCUGAGCGGGCAGGUCCUCUUCGUCGGCCGGGCCUGCUCCAAGGCCUUCGACACGGGGCAUGCCGGCAGCCCGGGCUACAUCUACUUCCUCGACGACGUCUACACUGGCAGGCCACACAGUGUCGUCCAGCAGAAGGAGUAUCCCUGCGCCGACGCCGGCCGGUGGUGUUACUCGGUCCCCGACGAAAUGGACCGCUGCCUGCCAUGGGCGGCGCCCUCAGACACCUCGCCGUGCAUUUGGUACCACCAUUAA
RNAcentral lists this ribosomal RNA (1020 nucleotides) under Triticum aestivum (bread wheat). RNAcentral's name for it is "partial small subunit ribosomal RNA". The record is from RNAcentral. Lineage: Eukaryota; Viridiplantae; Streptophyta; Magnoliopsida; Poales; Poaceae.